This 704-nucleotide long non-coding RNA is filed under the name Prunus persica (peach). RNAcentral describes it as "long non-coding RNA (PPER_LNC002478)". Lineage: Eukaryota; Viridiplantae; Streptophyta; Magnoliopsida; Rosales; Rosaceae. The record is from RNAcentral.
AAUUAUUUGGGUGGGUAGGGUUUGCGUUGGGGAAUUGAGUUGCUUUGAGGGAAAUAUGUUUGACUUUGGGGGGGUUAUUGGCAUCCUUUUUUGUUUUUUUGUUUUUUUGUUUUUUUUGUUUUUUGAACGCUUGGGGAGAAAGGUUGAUAACUUUAAACAAUAAAUAAAUAAUAAAAGAAGAACAGACACGUAUGCAAGCAGCCGAUAAGCCUUUAUUUGGAGCAUUACAUCGAACAGAUGAUUGGCAUGACUUCUCCAGCCAUCCACCACAUGCAGGGGGAACUCUCUCAGGAAGUUUUCGGCGAGAGGGAAUGUACAGCAGCUCCUUACGCCUUUAUGGCUCCGACACUAUGUUAUGCUUCUUUUUUCUUUUUUUUCUGUUUCUUUUAGUCAAGGAUAUUUUUGCUUCUUAGAGCUCCAGGAAAUGAGACUAGUACACAGAAAGGUUACAAAACCAUGGUGAAUCUUGUAUCAUUAGAGCAUCUCCAAGGGAAAAGGCAAAAUAGUAGGCAAACCUCAUUUGUCUUGUCAUAUCAGUAUUUUUAUGCUCCAAAAGAAAAGGCAAAUAGGUAGGCAAAAUAUACCUACUCUCCGCAACAAGACAAUACUGUCUACUUCAAAGUGAAAAUGUAUAUUGGGCCGUACUUGCUUUUUAUUAUUAAAAUAUCAUCCACACUAUUUCACAUACUUUCUAUAAAAAUAUA